Molecule: transfer RNA, 76 nt
Filed under: Enterococcus hirae
Lineage: Bacteria; Bacillati; Bacillota; Bacilli; Lactobacillales; Enterococcaceae
Description: tRNA-Met(cat)
Rfam family: tRNA
About the family: Transfer RNA (tRNA) molecules are approximately 80 nucleotides in length.
Source: RNAcentral
UGUACCCUUAGCUCAGUUGGUUAGAGCUGACGGCUCAUAACCGUCCGGUCGUAGGUUCGAGUCCUACAGGGUACAU